GGAGAAGUGUAGUUUGAACUCUCAAAUUAAAUGCGCAUUCCAUUCCUCAAAAUUCCGCUCAACAUCAUUACAAUCUCGCCAAAUUAACACGAAAUUGUAUCAUAAGAAAACUAACUAUGGAUAAAUAGGCCACUGAUUCCUCUAUCCCAUCAGCUAACAAAAUCUAAACUUUAAAAUGCAAUAAAGGAAAAUAUGUACAAGA
RNAcentral lists this unclassified non-coding RNA (202 nucleotides) under Hevea brasiliensis (rubber tree). Lineage: Eukaryota; Viridiplantae; Streptophyta; Magnoliopsida; Malpighiales; Euphorbiaceae. The record is from RNAcentral.